UACGUAGGGGGCAAGCGUUGUCCGGAAUCAUUGAGCGUAAAGAGCGUGUAGGCGGCCCGAUAAGUCCGCUGUGAAAGUCCAGGGCUCAACCCUGGGAUGCCGGUGGAUACUGUCGGGCUCGAGUCCGGAAGAGGAGUGUGGAAUUCCUGGUGUAGCGGUGAAAUGCGCAGAUAUCAGGAGGAACACCGGUGGCGAAGGCGGUUUCCUGGCCCAGUACUGACGCUGAGGCACGAAAGCGUGGGGAGCGAACGGG
This 253-nucleotide ribosomal RNA is filed under the name uncultured bacterium. RNAcentral describes it as "partial 16S ribosomal RNA". It matches the Rfam family "Bacterial small subunit ribosomal RNA", at positions 524 to 776 of the family's 1533-position model. The record is from RNAcentral.